CUACGGAGGGUGCAAGCGUUGUUCGGAAUCACUGGGCGUAAAGGGCGCGCAGGCGGUUUGGUAAGUCAGAUGUGAAAGCCCAUGGCUCAACCAUGGAAGUGCAUUUGAAACUGUCAGACUUGAGUACUAGAGGGGAAAGUGGAAUUCCCGGUGUAGAGGUGAAAUUCGUAGAUAUCGGGAGGAAUACCGGUGGCGAAGGCGACUUUCUGGCUAGAUACUGACGCUGAGGCGCGAAAGCGUGGGGAGCAAACAGAAUUAGAAACCCUAGUAGUCC
RNAcentral lists this ribosomal RNA (274 nucleotides) under uncultured bacterium. RNAcentral's name for it is "partial 16S ribosomal RNA". It matches the Rfam family "Bacterial small subunit ribosomal RNA", at positions 523 to 796 of the family's 1533-position model. The record is from RNAcentral.